This 82-nucleotide transfer RNA is filed under the name Candidatus Woesearchaeota archaeon. Its description in RNAcentral is "tRNA-Ser". It matches the Rfam family "tRNA". Rfam says of the family: Transfer RNA (tRNA) molecules are approximately 80 nucleotides in length. Their secondary structure includes four short double-helical elements and three loops (D, anti-codon, and T loops). The record is from RNAcentral. Lineage: Archaea; Nanobdellati; Candidatus Woesearchaeota.
GCCCAGAUCGCAUAAUCCGGUAUUGCGUCGGUCUCGAAAACCGAUGCCGCAAGGCUUCCCGGUUCAAAUCCGGGUCUGGGCG